CCUGAUGCAGCCAUGCCGCGUGUGUGAAGAAGGCCUUUUGGUUGUAAAGCACUUUAAGCAGGGAAGAAAACUCCGUGGUUAAUACCCACGGACGAUGACAUUAGCUGCAGAAUAAGCACCGGCUAACUCUGUGCCAGCAGCCGCG
This 145-nucleotide ribosomal RNA is filed under the name uncultured Moraxellaceae bacterium. RNAcentral describes it as "partial 16S ribosomal RNA". It matches the Rfam family "Bacterial small subunit ribosomal RNA", at positions 382 to 519 of the family's 1533-position model. RNAcentral also lists the same sequence under 1 other name. Lineage: Bacteria; Pseudomonadati; Pseudomonadota; Gammaproteobacteria; Moraxellales; Moraxellaceae. The record is from RNAcentral.